Molecule: non-coding RNA, 239 nt
Filed under: Tumebacillus algifaecis
Lineage: Bacteria; Bacillati; Bacillota; Bacilli; Caryophanales; Alicyclobacillaceae
Description: T-box sequence
Rfam family: T-box leader
About the family: Uncharged tRNA acts as the effector for transcription antitermination of genes in the T-box leader family. T-boxes are found upstream of many aminoacyl-tRNA synthetase genes and some amino acid biosynthetic genes usually in Gram-positive bacteria.
Source: RNAcentral
UGAAUGGCUUAGAUGGGAAAGAGUAGGUUUUGAAAGCCUUCAGAGAGGGUGGCUGAUACGCUGUGAGGCCGCCUAGGCAGAAGAAGCUGAACGUCGUCCCGGAGUCGUCUGUCCGAACGCGCGAUUUGGCGUGUCCAGUAGGGCUGACCGGUGAAUCCGUUAUCUUCCCAAGCGCGCAGGACGGCUGUCUUGCGAACUAAAGGUGGUACCGCGGAAGCAACGUCUCUUUCGUCCUUUUU